UACGUAGGAGGCAAGCGUUGUCCGGAUUUAUUGGGUUUAAAGGGUGCGUAGGCGGCUUUAUAAGUCAGUGCUGAAAUAUCCCGGCUUAACCGGGAGGGUGGCAUUGAUACCGCAGAGCUUGAGUGAAGUCGAGGUAGGCGGAAUUGACGGUGUAGCGGUGAAAUGCUUAGAUAUCGUCAAGAACACCGAUAGUGAAGACAGCUUACUAGACUUCAACUGACGCUGAGGCACGAAAGUGUGGGGAUCAAACAGG
RNAcentral lists this ribosomal RNA (253 nucleotides) under uncultured bacterium. Its description in RNAcentral is "partial 16S ribosomal RNA". It matches the Rfam family "Bacterial small subunit ribosomal RNA", at positions 524 to 776 of the family's 1533-position model. The record is from RNAcentral.